CAGAUGAAAUCCAUACUUUAUAAGAAGUGAUGUUUAUCUUGCUAUUUCCAAAGGAAUAACUUAAACACUGCAUUCGAAACAACUUUUAUGGUGGUAAUUAUUUUUUCAAAUUCGUUUAAUUAUCUUAAGUAUGCGAUUCAUAUUCUUUGGUGCUUUAUCCAUUUUAAUUUGCAAAGGAAUUAAGCUUCGUACAUUUCAGGGUCAUAAAAAUCGGAAGGAUUUUGCCUAAAUCAAAAGAUUGCUUAAGGAUUAAUGCUUUUUUAAAAGAAUUCUACUGGACACUAUCUUUUACUUUGCUUAUUUUUGGACAUGUUCUAAGUGAUCAACUUUAACAAUGACAGUUUUAUCGACUUGGAAAUUGUGUUUGUUCCUAUCAAUUUCUAUUUUAAUGUUGAUAACAUUCAUUCCUAACGUCCAAUGCACUUGUCAUGCGUUUUGCACUUACGACUCUUGGAUGGAUUGGACUUGCACAUGUAGUAAUUCUACUCAAAAAAGAGAGAGACAUAUGUGUUGUCCAGGAGGACAAACAACAAGAGAGGGGUGUGCAUCUUACUGUAAUAUCCCGUUGUAUUGGCAAGAAGAGGCUCCCUGUGACAAAUGUAAUAAUGGAGGAAUUUACGAUAUAAACCAAAAGAAAUGCAAGUGUCCCCCAACUCACAAAGGAACAUAUUGUUGUGAGCAAGUGAAAUGCAGCGAAAAUCCAUGCAAGCAUGGCUCGUGUAAUGAUACGGUGUCGCCUUUCAUUUGUGAGUGCGACCCUGGUUUCAAAGGAACUAUCUGUGAUAAAGUGUUAAAAAGGUUACCACCAUGGCUUCCAUAUCUUGGGUACUCCAUUAUCAGUGUGGUUGGAAUAUUCUUUUUAAUUUGCAUUUCGUAUGUCUGUGCAAAGUAUUGCGUGAUUAAAAAGCUCAGGAAGCAGCAGAACCAACAUAGUACGCUUAACAAAAGACAAAGGAUCAAAGAAAAUCGGAUUAUGCCAAUUUCACUUGAUUUUUAGAUGUAAAGUUUAUUUGACCAAAAGCUCGUUUUUCUGUCCGGUUUUAUAUUGUUUGGGUUUUUAGGGGGUGUGGUCAUCGUCGCAAAAAUUCACAAUUUCAUUUUUUUAGAACCAAAGUGUCAACUGCAACUAAACGUGGCACAAAGCAUCUUAGGAUAAUGGGGAAAAGUUUAUUCAAAUGAAAGGCCACGCCUUUAUUCAAGAAGGAAUGAAUAGAAAUUCCAUGGCAACUGCAAAGCGGUUUUUUUUAUACUAAAACAACACGAUUAGAUAAAAUUAAAAAAUUUCAAAAUAC
Molecule: long non-coding RNA, 1292 nt
Organism: Magallana angulata
Lineage: Eukaryota; Metazoa; Mollusca; Bivalvia; Ostreida; Ostreidae
Exons: 3
Source: RefSeq, a predicted model, not a curated record